Gossypium arboreum is the source of this 107-nucleotide non-coding RNA. NCBI's taxonomy places the organism in Eukaryota, Viridiplantae, Streptophyta, Magnoliopsida, Malvales, Malvaceae. The record is from Rfam.
AAUCCAUGCAUCAGACUUUUUUGAAUUAAAUCUUUGAAUCGUUCCCUAACUUCAUAUGGUGUUUCAUCCUCCAAUUACUGAAAAGUUGUGAUGUCAUUUCUAAGAUA